Molecule: long non-coding RNA, 997 nt
Organism: Mesocricetus auratus (golden hamster)
Lineage: Eukaryota; Metazoa; Chordata; Mammalia; Rodentia; Cricetidae
Exons: 2
Source: RefSeq, a predicted model, not a curated record
CCAACUAAAUGUUUUCCUUUAUAAGAGUUGCUGGUGGUCAUGGUCCUGGUGUCUCUUCACAGCAACAGGCACCCUAAGACAACGGCCAAAAGCCACUUGGGGAAGAAAGGGAUUUCAUGAAGGGAAGCCGUUGCAGAAGCCCGAGGCAGGAGUCUAGAGGCAGAAACUGACACAGAGACCAUGGAGGAAUGGUCUCACUCACUCAACUUGCUAUCCUCCCAUCAACCAUUAAUAAAGAAAAUGCCCCAUAGACUUGCCUACAGGCAAUCUGGAUGGAGGUAAUUUCUCAACUGAGGAUCCUUUCCCAGAUAACUCUACUUACUCAAGGCGACCAAAAGCCACCCAGGACACAUAGCUUCACAGCGCUCUACUCAGGCUGCAAACAGAUUCCAGCUUCCCCGUCUUUGUUUUGUUUUGGAUUUUUUUCGAGACAGGAUUUUGCUAUAUAAGGUCUUUCUGCCUUUGCUUCCCAGUGCUGGGGAUUACACGGGUUCAUCACUACAUCUGGCCCAGCUCCCCCAUGCUGCACUCUUCAGGCAAUUUUAAGGUCCCAGCAAAUAUGGGAUGAAGCUGACGUUGGGGACUCCGUGUACUAAAGCCCCAUACAUAUAUGAAUAAGUAAACUCUCACACACUGUACGCCCCACCCUGGAGUGGCACAUUUGUUAGCACAGGUGAGCCUACAGCAAUUAUAAGUAACGCUGCUAUUAAUAUCUAUGGGCAGGUUUUUUUGGGGGGGAGGGAUAAACUUUGAAUUACUUUAGUUAAUACCAAGGCACUUAUUUGCUGGAUUUUUGUGGUAAGGAUAUGUUUUGUUUCACAAGAAAUGGCCAUACUAUCUUCUAAUAGGAUAUUUUCUUUGUACUCGCUCCAGUAAGGAGUUCCUGUUACUCCACACUCCCAUGGGUUUGGUGUUACCAGUGUUUGGGAUAAUGGCCAUUCUGAAACUAGAGUGACAGAGUGUGAAUUUCUAGUGUUUAAUAAAAGUUUUGUGUGAA